AGCCAGCUACUGUUCUGGCUCCCCUUGUAGCCACACCCACCAGGUCUGCAGUCUUAAUGGAAGGUCAGUAUCAGGGAGGCAGGGAAGGGGGCAGAGAGGGGGUGUGAGAACUCACUCCGCUUAAUUUUGUUGUGAACUUCAAAAUGUUAAUUAAAAUAGAGUUCACUAAGAGGGGCAGUUGGCCUAUCCAUUAAAGACACACGCAUCCCAUAUCAUAAUACCAGUUCAAUACCUGGCUCCUAGGCUGGUGUUGUGGCAGAGCAGCUUAAGCCACCGGCUGUGAUGCCUGCAACCUGUAGGCAGAUGGUUCCUGUCUCAGCUGCUCCACUUCUGAUCCAGCUGCCUGCUAAUGGCCUGGGAAAAGCAGCAAAGGUGGGCCCAAGUGCUUGGCCCCUGUCUUACUCAUGAGGGACCCAGAUGAAGCUCUUGGCUCCUGGCUUAACCUAGCCCACACCAGCCAAUGUGGCCAUGUCGAGAGUGAACCAGCAGAUAAAAUCUCUCUCUCUCUAUCUCUGUUUCUCUCUGUUUCCACCUCUGUCUCUGUAACUCUGACUUUUAAAUAUAAACACGUCUUAAAUAUAUCUAGCUGGCUCCCAACUCCAGCUUCCUGACAAUGCAGAACCUAGGAGGCAUCAGUGGUGGCUGGAGCAGUUGGGUCCCUGCCAACCACAUGGAUAGCUUAGACUGUGCUACCACCUCUCAGGGUUGGUCUGAUCCAGACCAAAUAUGUUACAGGCAUUUCAUGAGUGAACAGGUGGACAGGAUCCCCAUCUCUCUCAUGUAAUACAAGAGCAAGAACAAGAUUUUUGGCUCUUUUUUAUUAUUAUGUAUUUCCAAGAUUGGUCCAUUGAAGUAAUUAUCCCAGCAUGUUCAGAGCAGAAAUGAUUCUUUACUCCUACUAGAAUGUUUCCAUUUGCCAAUACAUCACCUGAUCUUCAUUACAGUAAAAUAACUUUGAUAACUUGAAUUAAAUUAUCCUCAAAACCUUCCCAGUGACUUAUAUAGGAACAUGUAUGCUAAAUAAAUACAUUUUUAGACUUUUUAAAAAUACUUUUUAUUCAUUUAAAAGGAAGAGCUACAGAGAGGCAGAUGUAGAGGUAGAAAGAGAGGGGUCUUCCAUCUGCUGGUUCACUCCCCAAAUGGCUGCAAUAGCCAGAGCUGGGCUGAUCUGAAGCCAGGAGCCAGGAGCUUCUUCUGGGUCUCCCAUGUGAGUACAGGGGCCCAAGAACCUGGGCCAUCUUCUACUGCUUUUCUUGGCCAUAGCAGAGAGCUGGAUCGGAGUGGAGCAGCCAGGACUAGAACUGGUGCCCAUAUGGGGUGCUGGCACUGCAGGCAGUGGCUUUAUCCACUAUUCCACAGUGCCAGCCCCCAUUUUUAGAAUUUUUGUAACUAAGUCCAUCAACAUACAAAUGGGAUUAUCAUGAGACCAACAUCUCCUUGAGAACAUGAGGAAACGUCUUCAUCGUGACUAUGGCCUGGCAUUGCUGACAUGUCUGGGGAUGUCAACCUGUAAGUCUAGUGAUUGACAGAGCUGAGUUGUCUUGUUGCGAUUGCCUUGGACACUGCGCAGAAGAAAAAAACUGACGUGAAUGUCAUUCAGUCUCCAGAACAGGCCCUUCUGCACAGAUGCUCCCACGCGUCAUCUCCAUGUUCUGGGUCUGAGCGCGUAAGCUGAAUGGGGAAGACUCGGAUCUUCUUCAGCAAGCGUGCCUCUGUCAGGGAGAGGAACACAUCCCACAUCAAUGUCGAGGAGCACCAGCAGGGGGCAGAUGAGGGCAUCCUGCAUGUUCUAUGAUCAGGUGCCCACUCCCCUGACUGGGAGAGGAAGGUGGAGUGCGCUGUCCUACCGGUGUGAGGCCGCCCCUGAAGAUGCUAACGCUUCUGCUGCUUCUGGGGCCUGGCUCUGGGCUCGGUGCUCUGGUCCUGCAAAACCCCAGCAGGGCUAUCUGUCAGAGCGGAGCCUCUGUGAGGAUCGAGUGCCGUUCUGUGGGUCUGCAGGCCGUAACCGUGUUUUGGUACCGUCAGCUGCCGAAACAGAGCUUCAUGCUGAUGGCAACUUCCAAUCAGGCCUCCGACGCUGCCUAUGAACAGGGUUUUACCAAAGCCAAGUUUCCCAUCAACCAUCCAAACGCAACCUAUUCAAGUCUGGAGGUGACAAACACACAGCCUGAAGACAUCGGCUUCUACUUCUCCUAUGAGCAGUAUUUCGGUCCCGGCACCAAGCUCACGGUCACAGAGGACCUGGCAAAUGUGAGCCCACCCCAGGUCGUUGUGUUUGACCCAUCAGAAGCAGAGAUCAACAAAACCCAGAAGGCCACGCUCGUGUGCCUGGCCAAAGACUUCUACCCUGACCACGUGGAACUGAGCUGGUGGGUGAACGGGAAGGAGGUCCACAACGGGGUCAGCACGGACCCCCAGCCCUACAAGCAGGACCCCAAGUCCGAUCACUCCAAAUACUGCCUGAGCAGCCGCCUGAGGGUGUCGGCUGCCUUCUGGCACAACCCCCGCAACCACUUCCGCUGCCAAGUCCAGUUCUUUGGGCUCACGGACGACGACAAGUGGACGUACAACAGUAGUAAACCCGUCACCCAGAACGUCAGUGCUCACACCCGGGGCAGAGCAGAUUGUGGCAUCAGCUCGGCAUCCUAUCAGCAAGGGGUCCUGUCUGCUACCGUCCUCUAUGAAAUCCUGCUGGGGAAGGCCACCCUGUACGCUGUGCUGGUCAGCGCCCUGGUGCUGAUGGCCAUGGUCAAGAAAAAGAAUCCCUGAAGCCACUCCACAAGGGUACCCGUUCUUCGUCCUCACCCUGGAUUCUCCGGCACUUGUUACUGAUUUGUGCUCCUGAAAAGUUAUUCCCUCUGCACCUCUCAUCCUCUUUCUGCUGGGUUAUUUGUUUUCCUCUCUGCUACCCCACAGAUUGAGCUCUUAACUCUGAAUGUGAAAUAGAAUGAACAAAUAAAAAUGGUGUGCUGUG
Oryctolagus cuniculus (rabbit) is the source of this 2974-nucleotide non-coding RNA. Lineage: Eukaryota; Metazoa; Chordata; Mammalia; Lagomorpha; Leporidae. The record is from the annotation of a RefSeq genome assembly.